GGUCCCGUAGUGUAGCGGUUAACACGCCUGCCUGUCACGCAGGAGAUUGCGGGUUCGAUUCCCGUCGGGACCG
RNAcentral lists this transfer RNA (73 nucleotides) under Staphylococcus epidermidis. RNAcentral's name for it is "tRNA-Asp". It matches the Rfam family "tRNA". Rfam says of the family: Transfer RNA (tRNA) molecules are approximately 80 nucleotides in length. RNAcentral also lists the same sequence under 1 other name. The record is from RNAcentral. Lineage: Bacteria; Bacillati; Bacillota; Bacilli; Caryophanales; Staphylococcaceae.